Molecule: non-coding RNA, 3800 nt
Organism: Xyrichtys novacula (pearly razorfish)
Lineage: Eukaryota; Metazoa; Chordata; Actinopteri; Labriformes; Labridae
Source: the annotation of a GenBank genome assembly
UGGCUGAUAUACUAUGGCUUCUCUGUCUCUUGACUUUCUUUUCCUUUCAGUCCUGUGCAUUUAUUUUCAAACAAGCAAAAAGUAAGAAUUGGAUACUAGAGCAUGGAGAUGGAGGUUUAUAAAGCCUACUUUUUGCUAACAACCAUAAACUACAAGUUUUAUUAUAGCCCAGUUUUUCUUGUUGAUUUAUUUAAACCUUUCAUAUUUUAAGCUCAGGUUCCAGCGUUUCACAGUCAUACACACCCUACCUUUACCAGAACGUCUUCACUGGAAAAUACUGUUGUGGGAGUCUCACUCCUGAUCCUCUGCAGGAGCUGGAGGGCCAUCUGGUUCCCACAGGCCGUCCUACAUCCUCCUCCAGUCAGGCCAGCACUGUUCUGGCACUCCUACUCUCCACACGUGUGUAUGAGUGCGCAUGUGAGUGAGUGUGUGUGUGUGUACGUGUUUGUGUGUGGUCCAGAUUGGAUGACGGCACUGAUGACACAGUCAUUCCUGUGGGUGGCUUGUUUUUCCAAGGUUACAGCACUCCCACCCCACCUGUGGACAGAUCUGAGAGAGAUGCUGAGUGGGCUUUCAGUGAGAUACUCAUCUCUCCCUGCGAAUUAGAGGAGCUGUGCCGCUGAGGGGACAGCAUUCAAACCUCCCCUUAGAGACGGAGGGUAGAAGAGGGCCCUUUUUAUAUAAUUUGGACUCGUGCAAUGAAAACAGAGCAGCAGCUAUGAACUGAUUUCAUCGCAUUUCCUGGUAUUGAUUUUUGUUUAAUUCAAAGAUAUUCAGCACGGUGUGAGAAAAGCAAGAAAAGACCGUUUUCAUUUACUUGAAUAGCAAAUAGAUAAUCCAAACAACCGCUUAAUACUUUCCCAUAAAUCAAUUAGCUCUUUCUAUUCAGUUUGCCCAGACUUGUUCAAUGGAUUAUUUUCAAACUGCGUCAUCAUUCGUGAAGAGUAUUACAAAUAUUUUCAGAAACAGUCGAAUUUCCUGGAGCUCAAGAUAACAUCUUUGGGUUUUUCCACUGAAGUGUCGUUACAGCUGCGACUAUUAGUUGAUGAAGUGUUGAAAGAAAAUCCAACCAUAGUAAAUUCUUACUUAAUAAGAUGGUUUCAUUUGUUUUAAGACAUUUAGGGAGUUUUGAAUGGUUACAGGUGCCUGAAUGUGAGAAAUGGCAGCUUUCUCUUGGUGCUAAAUUCAAUUGACCUUGAUGGUUUUUGUUUUUUUUAUGUGUUAGAUAAGAGGAGAUGUAUUUAAUCUCUUUGGAAAGUCUAAAUUCAAGAUCUUUUUAGCCGUUUUUAAUCACUGCUUUCCCGUGUUUUGAUUUUACUCUUUAUUUUUUGCUCAUUCAUCUCCUGUAAAGCGUAUUGAGUUGACAUUAGUAUGAAAUAUGCUACACAAAUUGUAGUUGAACUGAAUUUACCGAUGAGGUAACCUUCUCCUUUGUGAAAUUGUUUUUUAAUCUUUCUGUUGCUUGGAAAAAUAAUCAGCGAAUGAAAGGAUGGUGCUUUAAAAGGAGAAUGCAAAGAAAACCAGCUGAAGUUCUCCACACUCAUCGUGUUUUUGCAGUCUAAUUAUGAAAUCAUUGGUGAUUAAUUUUUUUGACAGAACACUAAUCAAUGAAUCCAAAUAGCUCCAAACAUGUUGCUUCAAAGAGGCAGCAUGUGUGAGGGUAUUUUGUGGACACUGAGCGCUCGUAGUCAAGAGUGGACUGUCCUGUCAGGACGAGGGUGCGGCUGCUUCAGCCGUGCAGCUGUGAUACCCAUCUGAGCAGCUGAAUUUUCCACUGGGGGCUCUAAUUUACCGCUUUGGGGCUUCAGCUGCCUUGAGUGUAAUUUAUCUGUGGGCCGGCUCAAAUGAGAGUCCUGACACAAGAUGGAUGAGGAGGACAGGGGCUGCCUCGGCUCUGCUCACUGGUCCAUAGACGGGCUCUCUUUACAUUGGAGGUAUAAUAAAUGAUGUUUGGUUUUACCCUGGAGGCUGGAUUACUGACGUUUCCUUACAUGAGACAGAGACUUAUGUGAAUAGAUUCAAUGCAGACGUGUAGGACUGCAACAGGCUCGAGUGUGGUUUGUUUACUAGUCUGCUUCUUCUCUCCAGCCUACAUGUAGCUCCACAAUGAGUAGCAGAAUUUAUUGUUCAAUGUCGGCACAGAUGCUAGUGGGCUGAAGAUGAACAUAACUCUGAGUAACACACUAUCAAGUGUGAACUCAUAAAUAUUUCAAAGGAGUCUUCCUGGAAGGUCAAAAGCAGGAUUCAAUCUCCUCUAAAUCAGUCAUUGAGUGAGUUGCCUGCUAUCAUUGAGGCUGAUGAGGGUCUGAUGAACACAAGACUGCAGCCCCUGCAUGGUUUCAUCGACCCGGGCACGCUGCCUGGCCCCUGCAGCCAAUCAAAGCUCAUUACCCAUUCUCUCGGUCCCCCCAGCCCCACCCCCACUCCCACCACGAGACCCCUGACUGCCCAUACUAAUGUGAUACAGAGCAAACCAGAUGCUGCUGGGCAGCAGAGAGAGGAUUUCAAAGGUUAAGUCACAACAGCAUGACCCACAUCAGCGCUCAGCUCACAGGGCUCAGUGAGGACACCGCUGCUCCAACGCCUAUGGGGGUUAGGUCAUGUGGUGCGUCUGCCUGUGCAUACCGUACAGUUUAAGCACUGAGGCAUCCAGAUUUAGCAUAAUAACCAGAUUAUUGAAGCCAAAAGUGCUGCGCUGAUUUAUGUCCGAGCAUUGGCCCUGCACAGAAGAGAUGUUUAUGUGCAGGGACAGCACACACACACACACAUUCACAAACACACACACUCUAUGUGCUCCAGUGUGUGAUGGUAUGCAGCACUAUCAACAAAGGACGUCGGGGAGAGCCAUAAAGCCAGCCUGUGUGGAUGAGAGCAGAUGUAUUGUAGGAUACCUCUGUGGGCAGUAGGAGCCACGUCACUCCUCUUCUCAUAGCAACAGUACAGUUGACCUACAUGCUUUCUUACACAGCCCACUCCGCCUGAGGUGCUGGAAAACAUGCAAAUCCAUCACAGAUAUUGACUUCUUUUUUGCAUUUUGAAUAUGGACACAUGCUCCAAAAUGGAUAUGGCAUAUCCCAUCUGUAUCAUCAUGCAAGCAUAUAAGCCUCCAUCCUGCAGGAAAAAAGGGUGCUCAAAAAUGUAAUGCGGUGUCAAAUUAAAACUGCAUACAACAAAGUGCUUUCCCCAUCAAUCAUUGGCUGUUUUAUUGAGUGUUAGGUGAUACAGAAAUAAUAAAAAAAUACAGGCUCUAGCUCAGAAUACAACCACAAGCCACUGAAAGGAAGUGAAUUAAGGCUUUAAAUACAACAGUGUGGCUGCAGCAGCAGGGUGUUAUUACCUGGAGAAACCGUGUAAACAGCGUUGAAAGAAAGCAGGGCUGCUUUUCUCCCCCCUCGGCUGGAGUGGAGACACCAGCACUAGCAAGGCAGUAGCUUGCGCAGUCAUCUCCAUAGCGGGCAGUGUCACAACCCAACCAACAGCACAAACUACUACCUCAGCCAGUGCGUGGUGAAACGUCGAGAGGAAGAAGAAGAAGAAGAAGAAACAAAGGGGGUUUAAAACGAGGAAAAAAUGCAGUGGAGGUAUAAAACAAUGCACCGUCCGUGUCGACAUUCCCAUGCAGCCGGAGCUGGUCCGUCCUCUCCUCCUCUUCUCCCGCUUCCCUCCCUCCUCCUCCUCUUCUGUGCAGACUUGAAAUAAGAGGGAAACCCCGCCCUAGCAGACCUGCUCCCUUUCGCUCUCCUCCUCCUCCUCCUCUUCCUCCUCCCGCUCCCUCUUCCUCCUCUCCUUCUACAGUAUAC